Molecule: unclassified non-coding RNA, 440 nt
Filed under: uncultured Thelephoraceae
Lineage: Eukaryota; Fungi; Basidiomycota; Agaricomycetes; Thelephorales; Thelephoraceae
Description: sequence contains ITS2
Rfam family: 5.8S ribosomal RNA (bases 1-155)
Source: RNAcentral
AACUUUCGGCAAUGGAUCACUUGUCUCUCCUAUCGAUGAAGAACGCAGAGAAAUGCGAUAAGUAAUGUGAAUUGCAGAAUUCAGUGAAUCAUCGAAUCUUUGAACGCACCUUGCGCCCUUUGGCUAUUCCGAAGGGCAUGCCUGUUUGAGUAUCCUGAACUUCUCAACUCCUCACGGUUUGCCCGUGAUGAGCUUGGACUUUGGGGGUCUUGCCGGCCUGCGGGUCGGCUCCUCUCAAAUGGAUCAGCUUGCCGGGGUUUGGCGGCGUCACAGGUGUGAUAACUAUCUACGCUUGUGGUUUUCCGCUAGGUAUCCUCCAGCGAUGGGGGUUCACUGGAGCUCACAAGUGUCUCUCCUCGGUGAGGACAGCUCUUUGAACGUUUGAUCUCAAAUCAGGUAGGACUACCCGCUGAACUUAAGCAUAUCAAUAAGCGGAGGCU